Molecule: ribosomal RNA, 448 nt
Filed under: uncultured bacterium
Lineage: Bacteria
Description: partial 16S ribosomal RNA
Rfam family: Bacterial small subunit ribosomal RNA
Source: RNAcentral
GACCAGACUCCUACGGGAGGCAGCAGUGGGGAAUAUUGGGCAAUGGGCGCAAGCCUGACCCAGCAACGCCGCGUGAAGGAAGAAGGCUUUCGGGUUGUAAACUUCUUUUAAGAGGGAAGAGUAGAAGACGGUACCUCUUGAAUAAGCCACGGCUAACUACGUGCCAGCAGCCGCGGUAAUACGUAGGUGGCAAGCGUUAUCCGGAUUUAUUGGGUGUAAAGGGCGUGUAGGCGGGAAUGCAAGUCAGAUGUGAAAACUCAGGGCUCAACCCUGAGCCUGCAUUUGAAACUGUAUUUCUUGAGUGCUGGAGAGGCAAUCGGAAUUCCGUGUGUAGCGGUGAAAUGCGUAGAUAUUAGGAGGAACACCAGUGGCGAAGGCGGCCUGCUGGGCUUUUACUGACGCUGAGGCUCGAAAGUGUGGGGAGCAAACAGGAUUAGAUACCCGUGUA